RNAcentral lists this ribosomal RNA (443 nucleotides) under uncultured bacterium. RNAcentral's name for it is "partial 16S ribosomal RNA". It matches the Rfam family "Bacterial small subunit ribosomal RNA", at positions 338 to 795 of the family's 1533-position model. The record is from RNAcentral.
CCUACGGGAGGCAGCAGUGGGGAAUAUUGGACAAUGGGGGGAACCCUGAUCCAGCGACGCCGCGUGAGUGAAGAAGUAUUUCGGUAUGUAAAGCUCUAUCAGCAGGGAAGAAAGAAAUGACGGUACCUGACUAAGAAGCCCCGGCUAACUACGUGCCAGCAGCCGCGGUAAUACGUAGGGGGCAAGCGUUAUCCGGAUUUACUGGGUGUAAAGGGAGCGUAGACGGCGAUGCAAGUCUGAAGUGAAAGGCGGGGGCCCAACCCCCGGACUGCUUUGGAAACUGGAUGGCUGGAGUGCAGGGGAGGUAAGUGGAAUUCCUAGUGUAGCGGUGAAAUGCGUAGAUAUUAGGAGGAACACCAGUGGCGAAGGCGGCUUACUGGACUGUAACUGACGUUGCGGCUCGAAAGCGUGGGGAGCAAACAGGAUUAGAUACCCUAGUAGUC